GACGGUGGCAGAGGUUAGGGUGCGACGCUGACAUGGCCAAGGCAUAGGAGCGACGACGAGGCUAGGGUUUCUACUGAACACUGUUUAGGUUUUAGGCCAUUAGGGUUUUUUUGCUUAUUUUGGGCCAUUUGGGCCUCUCUUUUUUUUGUAAUUGGACUGGACUAUUUUUAUUUGGUUUUAUUUAUUUUGUUAUUUUUGUUCAUAGUGGGCCGGGAAGAAUUGGCUUGUUACAAACGUAAACUAGACAAGGUAAGUAAGAUGAAC
RNAcentral lists this long non-coding RNA (264 nucleotides) under Gossypium raimondii (Peruvian cotton). RNAcentral describes it as "long non-coding RNA (GRAI_LNC000117)". Lineage: Eukaryota; Viridiplantae; Streptophyta; Magnoliopsida; Malvales; Malvaceae. The record is from RNAcentral.